GGAAUAGUAGCUCAGUUGGUAGAGCACUGGUCAAACCAGGGGUCGAUGGUUCGAAUCCAUUCUAUUUCU
RNAcentral lists this transfer RNA (69 nucleotides) under Agathobacter rectalis. RNAcentral describes it as "tRNA-Leu". It matches the Rfam family "tRNA". From Rfam's summary of the family: Transfer RNA (tRNA) molecules are approximately 80 nucleotides in length. Their secondary structure includes four short double-helical elements and three loops (D, anti-codon, and T loops). Lineage: Bacteria; Bacillati; Bacillota; Clostridia; Lachnospirales; Lachnospiraceae. The record is from RNAcentral.